Molecule: long non-coding RNA, 813 nt
Organism: Coccinella septempunctata (seven-spotted ladybird)
Lineage: Eukaryota; Metazoa; Arthropoda; Insecta; Coleoptera; Coccinellidae
Exons: 2
Source: RefSeq, a predicted model, not a curated record
UUCACACUUAUUAACGCAUCAUCUUUCGAUAUUCCACGUUUUUCGAAAUUUAUUCCAAAUUUCUAUUUCCAAAUUGUUUUCCAAAUUCUCAUGCAUUAUUUCAUGGAUAAAUUAUGGAUUAUAUGGUAACUUAACUGUUUCUAUUCACACUUCAAAUCACACAAACAAAUCUCGGAAAAACCCAAAAUUUUUAUAUUUCAUAUCAAUAACCCCCUACCCCUAUCUUUUUUCGUUAUUAUAUAUUUUUUUAAUUGUUUCCAUUCGUCAAAAUUGUUGAAUCAUAACCUUUUCCACCUUUUCACAUAUUCCUAAUAAUCUUUUAGGCACAAUUAUUCAAAAUUUUUCGAAAAAAAAAUUUCUUCGUCUUUUUUUUUGAGUUUCUGGAAUUCACUCUGAAUUAUCAUGUCGGGAAAUAUUAACGGAGGUGCAUUUAACUUUACGGAAGACCAUACCAUAUUUUCUAGGGCCAUAUAAACAUCAUCAUCAAGGAAUAAAGGAGAAAGCUGACGAAAACCAACCAACCUUAUCCCAUCUGUUGCAUAGCUGUUAUUCUUAUGUAUAUAUUGUUAGUAAUGCAUAUAGAAUUGUUUUUAAUUUUUGUAAUGUAUAUAGAAAUGUUUUUAAUGUUUGUAAACACGGGGAGACAGGGUUUUUUCUGCUGAGGUUUUUCCCUGAGCUUUUAUAUCAUACGCAAAACAGUAUGGUACCCUGUUGCACUAACCCAGCAAAAUUGAUUAAGUAUUUUUUUAAUAUUCGAUAUAAUAAUAUUCACUUUCGAAAACCAAUUAAAUUUGAAUAUAUCUUUCAUCUUUC